AUCCUACGCAUGCAGCUCAGGGAUCAAGCAGCAGCUUUGUGGAUCCUCACCUGGGCUCUUCCUGGAGAACCCUGUGUUGGGUGCACAGUAUCAGGAGAUGGUAGGAUUGCAUAGGCACUUGUGGAAUGAUGGAGUGGAAUCUCAGGUGUGACUAUGAGAGGCAUCAGUGAUAAGAUGCAGUGGUUUGAGACAUAGUAACUGAAGAUAUGGACACUAAAUCCCUCCAUAUUUCUAUACAGUGAAAAAUCAAUAAUGGUAAUUGGAAUCUCUGUCUCCCUCAGCCCUGAUUUAUCCUUCCUCUUUGUGGUUUAUACUUUCCAUGUAUGAACCAUAAAACUGUAAUGGAGAAACAUUUUUGCCUAUGAGGAGCAAAGAGAGCUGCUUUGCUGAAUGACUGUGAGUAAAUGAGGAUUCUUUGAAGAAGUGCAGGGCUUCUGUUCCUCCGUGUUGUGGGCAGCACACGCCUGCCCUAUUCGUCUUCGUCAUGGCUGCACCUGUGCUACAGAAUGCUCAUAGACUAGUGCUGCCCAUGCAGGGAGCCCAGAGGCUGCACUUUCUCAGUUUACCUCAUGGCUUCAGAGUGACAUGAGGCAUUGAAAUAAGUGAGCAUUGAAUCUGAGGGCUCAGGAGCCACCUUCUACCUUUGCUCCUUUGGUGACAUGCUAGAUGCCCUCUGGUAAGUCAGUUAAAUUCUUUGGGCCUCCUCUGAAAAUUGGAUCCAAUGAGGCCAACACUUCCUGUUUCACAGGGUUACAUGGGGCUCACAUGCAAUUCAAGAACAAACUUUGUAAUACGAGGCAAAAGAUACACAAACAAGCAUGUACAUUACUCAGACAAAGGCUUGGUCCUAUGAGACAAUGGGGCAUGUUCUCAUAAGAUUCCUGUGAACUUUGUAGGCUCUUGGGGCUACAGGAAAACAAUUUUAAUUGAAGAGAGAAAGAAGAAUGAGACCAGGAUGUGGCCAUGGGUGAUCUCAGCUACAGAGCAUCCUGCCCAAGAAGCCUUGGCACAGUCCACGUGAUGUCAUGCCCCAGAGUUAAAGAAACUAGUAACUCACUGCAAUUCUUGAGUUUAUAAGAUGACAGACAAAAAAGAAACAACGUGUGGAGAUGUUGAAACUCCCUCUGCUUAUGAGAUAAAAAGAACUGGCUGAAAUUGGUUGGAACCAAUGUGGCCAAAUAAAGUCUGCACAGAACAAGCUUGCUGAUGUCACAGCCUGAAUUUCAACACAAGUUUCAUACUAACUACCCCCAAAUUUGCACAUGAGACCCAUGAGGAGGUAUGAAGAGAUAACUGUGUGAGGCUGAGGACUUUCCAGACCUCCCUUUUCCUUCUACCAAUUACCUACUAACCCCAGAAUCCACCCCUAAACCUUUUCUAAUAAAAUUACUGCCUUAAAGCCAGCACAGGAAGACAGAUUUGAGCUGUACUUCUGUCUCCUUGUUGGUUGAUGUACAAUAAAAAGCUUUUAUAUUUUCUCAAAAAAAAC
This 1489-nucleotide long non-coding RNA is filed under the name Homo sapiens (human). Its description in RNAcentral is "non-protein coding lnc-SLC15A4-26:1". Lineage: Eukaryota; Metazoa; Chordata; Mammalia; Primates; Hominidae. The record is from RNAcentral.